RNAcentral lists this ribosomal RNA (484 nucleotides) under uncultured bacterium. Its description in RNAcentral is "partial 16S ribosomal RNA". It matches the Rfam family "Bacterial small subunit ribosomal RNA", at positions 30 to 507 of the family's 1533-position model. The record is from RNAcentral.
AUUGAACGCUGGCGGCAGGCCUAACACAUGCAAGUCGAGCGGAUGAAGGGAGCUUGCUCCUGGAUUCAGCGGCGGACGGGUGAGUAAUGCCUAGGAAUCUGACUGGUAGUGGGGGAUAACGUCCGGAAACGGGCGCUAAUACCGCAUACGUCCUGAGGGAGAAAGUGGGGGAUCUUCGGACCUCACGCUAUCAGAUGAGCCUAGGUCGGAUUAGCUAGUUGGUGGGGUAAAGGCCUACCAAGGCGACGAUCCGUAACUGGUCUGAGAGGAUGAUCAGUCACACUGGAACUGAGACACGGUCCAGACUCCUACGGGAGGCAGCAGUAGGGAAUAUUGGACAAUGGGCGAAAGCCUGAUCCAGCCAUGCCGCGUGUGUGAAGAAGGUCUUCGGAUUGUAAAGCACUUUAAGUUGGGAAGAAGGGCAGUAAGUUAAUACCUUGCUGUUUUGACGUUACCAACAGAGUAAGCACCGGCUAACUUCGUG